Oncorhynchus nerka (sockeye salmon) is the source of this 331-nucleotide long non-coding RNA. RefSeq lists it as uncharacterized. NCBI's taxonomy places the organism in Eukaryota, Metazoa, Chordata, Actinopteri, Salmoniformes, Salmonidae. The record is from RefSeq and is a predicted model, not a curated record. The transcript is spliced from 3 exons.
UGUGUGUGUAGAUUAAACAUGAGAGCGGGCCAAAGGGACAUGGCAGCAGGUCAAAAUCAAAUACAAGAACAUUCUGCAGAAUGCAGUGAAAAAGAAUACCCACAGACAAGGCACGGGUGGUGGGUCACCAAAGGCUGACCUUACCCCAGCAGAGGACAUGGCCUUGGAGCUAAAUAAAGGCAGGCCCGUCUUAGAGGGGAUCCCUGGGGAAAGAGACUAGCAUAGGUUCCUCCCAAGAUGCCACCCGCUUCAUUCAAGUGCCUGGCAGCACUGUGUUCCUGUUAGAGCCACCAGCACAAGCACCAGACGAUGCUGAUCCAGUGAGUACUCC